AGGAAAUGAUGCACGAUGAUGUUUUGCUAAUUCACAAAUUUCACAUUUAAAGGAAGAAGAACUUUUAUUAGCAAACAAGUUGGGAAAUAAAUAUUGCAAAUACUGAAAACUAGGAUGGCCUAACCUAAAGUGCCACAACAAAACUUCAUUGUCAUUAUUAACAACAGAAACAGAAUUGAAACAAAUACGUGGAGGUUGUUGUCUCAAACUUGGUACUUCUUCAAAGAAAUACAGCCCCCCACUUUGUCUAGCACUGCCAAUCAUCUUCCCCGAGGUCAAAUCCUGAAAUUCACAAUGUUUUUGGAAGAAAUUAGCGCAACAGUUCAAAGAUUGCAAGAUAGGUUAGGAACAUGCAGAACAUUAUGAAGAGUGAGAGUGGAAGAAAGAAUGAUAAACCCUUUUCUAGCAAUAACCGAAAGGGAUCCGUCAGCGAUCUUAAUUUUUUGAUUUCCUGCACAUGGCUUAUAGGCAGAAAACAAAGAUGGAGAGCCUGUCAUGUGAUCGGUUGCUCUUGAAUCAAUAAUCCAAGAAAAAGAAUUCGAAUGAUGACAAACAAGGGCAGCAGAAAGAUAAUUACCUUUUUGAGUUAAUGAGCAAGAGGGAGUAGAUGAAUUGAAGGAUGAGGAUUGAAACAAUUUAUACAAGUGCUCUAAUUGAUCCUUGGUGAAAGGUGAUGACUCUGAAGAACCUGAUUGCUCUUGAUCUGAAGUAGCUUGGAAGGCUCGUCCAUCACCUCCUUGUUUCUUCUUCACAUGAGGAGGCUUGCCAUGUAGCUUCCAGCAAGUUUCUCUUGUAUGCCAAGCCCUUUUACAGAAGUCGCACCAAGGUUUCUUUGAAUUCCUUCGAUCUCCAUCAGGUUCAGGUGCCUUUGAAACAAGAGCAGAACUCUCUGAACUCUCUACUUCACUGGUGGCUUUAACAUCAUUAAGCAUGACAUUCCGUCGUGCUUCUUCUUUUCUUACCUCAGAAAACACUUCUCGAAUAGAUGGAAGGGGUUUCCUGCUCAGAAUUCUGCCUCUCACUUCGUCUAAAUCACGGUUUAGCCCAGCCAAGAACACAUAUACUCUGUCAUUUUCCAACAUCUUCUUAUACCUUACACUAUCACUCGAGCAGUCCCACUGCUCAUCAUAGCAAAGAUCUAAUUUCUGCCAAAGGAUCAACAGUUCAUUAUAGUAAGUUGUGACCUCCCGAUUACCUUGCUUGGACUGCCACAGUUGAGUUUUCAACUCAAAUAUCUGAGAUGAAUUUUCUAAAUCAGAAUAGGUAUCUCGGAUUGCAUCCCACACCGCCUUGGCUGUCGAUAAGAACAGAUAAGGCUUACCAAUCCUAGCCUCCAUUGAGUUUAUCAACCACACAAUAACCAUUGAAUUUGCUGAUCUCCAGGUCGGAAGAGAAGGAUCUCCAGCAGCUGGUUUUGUUACUUCACCAGUCAAAUGCCCCAGCUUUCCCUUUCCAUCAAUUACCAACUUAACGCACUGUGCCCACUCUAAGUAAUUUUUUCCAUUCAAUUUAUGAACAGUUAGUUGCAAAGAAGAGCUAUCCUGGUUAUAUUCAGACUGCUGCAACAGCGGCUGAGGAGUUGUGGUGUUACUAUCAUCAUUUUCGGCAGUAGAUGCCGAUGAGCUCUUUGUAGCUCCAGUCAUGGCAGUUUUCACCAUUGAAAAAUAGACCUCUAAAUAUUCAUUGCUCUGAUACCAUGUAAAUAUUUAGAGUCUGAAAAUGCUAUUUUCCUUAUUCCAUUCAUUCUACAAGUUACACUUAAAUAGAAUGUAGAAAACAAACUCCUAAUAGAUAUCCCCUAACUGUAGGAUACUUAUCUAAACUUGAAUUUAAAAAAAAAGAUUAUCUAAAACUUUAUUCCGAUAAGACUUUAAAACUAAACUAAUUAUCUAAAACUUUAUUCUGAUAAGACUUUCAAACUAACUGAAAAAUCCUAACCAGUGCAUUUCCAUUUUCAUCAUGUGAAUCACAAGAGGAAAUUGCCAUCAACCUUGGUUGGGAUUUGGGUACCUCUUGCUGAUCACAUAGCUUUAAUUUCUUACUUGGCUUCUCAAAUAACUCCUCUAAAGUUCUUUCCAGUUGUGGUGGCCUUUUUGGACUAGGAAGCUCAAUUUCCUGUUUCCCCACAAGCUGCAUUGAAUCUGUGGGUAAAUUAACAGAUGCUGAUGUUACUUUUCUUUGGUCUGCCGCAACCUUCACUUGACCACAAAUGUCCAGCUGUUGCUGCUGUUCUGCUUGAAAAGUAGAAGCAAGCACAGUUUCACUCCCCGUACUUGGAGGAUUCUCUGUUUGCAGCAAAUGCUCCUCUACCAAUUCCUGUUGUUUUCUGAUUUUAGGCAUUAAUUUGUUAUUUCCUGAUACUUCCAAGUUCAAAGAACAGAUGAUAUCAAUCAGCUUCCCCUCUACCUUGUUAGUCUUCUUCAACAAUUCCAUUAAAUCUUCCUAAAAUCCAGAUAAGCACAUAAUGACAUCAGAUUUAUCAAGUGGAAUUAAACUGAAUUAGAACAUUAACAGGUAAACUAUUUUGGUGACUAACCUUCUGUAAAUGUGAUGAAUCAGAAAGAUCCACUUUUUGACCUGUGACAUUAUUUUGGGUGCUGACAGUGGCUAUAUUGUCAUUUUCUUUCUUUAUAAGCUUGACCAGCAUGUUGCUAUUUAUUUAACAAGAAAAAUAACACUGUAAGAAUGAUCAUAAGAACAAGAAUAAAAGAGAGAUGCAAUAAAGAUUGAGGAUAAUAGAAAAGAAGAACACCUAAGAUCAAAAAUCUGGCAGCACACUUCCAUUUUUUGUUCCUGUAACCUCUUUUCCUCUUCAGUCCCUUCAAAGUGUUGCCUUUCUGGAUUAAUAUGUUCCACAAUUUCUUCAAAGUGUAUUUCUGGAAACUGAGCUUGCUCAUCUCGAACUUCACUUUCUGAAUUUGUUGUUUGAUUUAUCUUUUCAAGUUUCUUGCUUUCCAGUUCUUUAUGAUAUGGUUCUUCAAUAACUUCAUCUUCUCGUUCUUUCCGAUAUUCAGCUUCAGUUACUUCACUUUUCUUUCCAGGAUUACUCCCUUUUUCUUGAUAGUUCUCUUCUAUGGUCAACCCAACUGUUUCGCUUAGUACUUGACUUUGCUGUAGAUUCAAUUCCUUUCGCUGUUGAUUCUGCCACUCUUGCAUUUGAUCAUGUACGUCAUCCGUUUCCCUUCCUUGUUCAGAUUCAAUCUGCUCUUCAACUACCUUUAAUCGUAUUUCUCCCACUUCAUUUUGUUCUUUGCUUACUUCAUCUCCUCGUUCAUUUUGAUUUUCUGCUUCCAUUAUUUCACUACUCUUUUCAGCCUGAUUAUUCCUUUCUGCUUGGUAAUUCUUUUCUACGGUCACAUCAAUUGUUUCACUCACUGCUUGACUUUGUUGCAGAUCCAAUUCCUUAUGCUGGUGAUUCUGCUGCUCUUGCAUUUGAUCAUGUUCUUCGUUCCCUUCCCAGUCUUGUUCAACUACAAUUUGUUCUUC
RNAcentral lists this long non-coding RNA (3486 nucleotides) under Citrus sinensis (sweet orange). Its description in RNAcentral is "long non-coding RNA (CSIN_LNC000119)". Lineage: Eukaryota; Viridiplantae; Streptophyta; Magnoliopsida; Sapindales; Rutaceae. The record is from RNAcentral.